This is a long non-coding RNA of Lytechinus pictus (painted urchin), 1162 nucleotides long. RefSeq lists it as uncharacterized. The transcript has 3 exons. The record is from RefSeq and is a predicted model, not a curated record. Lineage: Eukaryota; Metazoa; Echinodermata; Echinoidea; Temnopleuroida; Toxopneustidae.
CCAACAUUUGAAAACAAUUCCGUUGCGUUGUUGGAGUUGCAGUUUAUUGAGCUCGAUCGAGAAGUGCGACGAAGAAGGCCGUUAAUAAUUCUUUUAAAGAAUACGGGUCAGAUAUGGACAACGACUUCGAAGACAUUUGCAGUAGGCUAAACAGGGAAAGAGAGGGAGAACCAAAACUCCUUGUCCUGGCAUCACACUUGAGGAGGAGAUGAAGUCAGUGAAUAUGACCUAGCCCGGGGGAGUUUCCAGAAGGCCCAGAACCGCCGGCCGCCAGGAGUGGAGGUCCUUCGUUGUUGCCCUACGUGCCAAGCGGCAUCAGGCAGUAGAUGCUGUAAGUGUACCCAGUCAUCUGGUUUCGUAACACCUUUUAUAGCGCUAUUGGAACCUGCUCCCUACCAGUAUAACAUCGAACAGAUUGGAAGAAUAAAGGCCAAUGGGAAGUGCCUUGUAUACCCCUACUUGCCGCACAGCAGUCCGUGGUUUAGCGCAAUCUAAACUUGACUAUUGUAGCUCUUCGUGCUUGAAUUAGGGUGAUCUGGACCGACUGCAGAUAGUACAGAAUGCUGCAUCUAUUGUGCCAUUUGCCAUACGCCCACUUCGCUGGCUGCAAGUCAAGGAAAGGAUAUACAUAAACAUCAGUGUCCGUCUACUGAUUUUCAAAGUCAAUGACAGGGGUCCAGAUUACAUGUAUUAAAAGGAAUGCCUUGUGCGUCAUUUUCAUUCUAGGCGCACUUGCCUUUUUAUUUUUGUGAUCCUUAGUCUACGAUGCACCUACAAAUUAGCUACUGGUGAUGCAACUUUCUCCACUACUGCUCCAAGGCCAUGGAAUUAGCUCCACCCUCUCCUCCAAUUUUCAACAACCUUGGAUCAAUAUACUUUGAGAAGACCUACCACAUUCCUGAUCAUCUUUGCUCUGGACUUGGAACAACACUGUCACUGCCUGGUAAUUUAAUUUUUUUUAAUCUCAUGUGCUGACUAGGAUGGCAUCUGAAAGUGCUUUGUAUCUCACAAAUAAUGUGUUGUGUAAAAGAGAACAGGCAUUGAGGUCAAGCAUAAGGGUAACCAUGGAUAUGGCCUUUGAUUACUUUUUAACAAAAACUGAAAAAUUCAUCAAAAUAGGACAAGGGGUAAUAAAGUAAUGUAUGGCAUUCUAAGCUCUGCA